AUCCACCUGGGGAGUACGAUCGCAAGAUUGAAACUCAAAGGAAUUGACGGGGGCCCGCACAAGCGGAGGAACAUGUGGUUUAAUUCGAUGAUACGCGAGGAACCUUACCUGGGCUUAAAUGCAGAACGAUGUUACGGGAAACCGUAAUUCCCUUCGGGGCGGGCUGCAAGGUGCUGCAUGGUUGUCGUCAGCUCGUGCCGUGAGGUGUCGGGUUAAGUCCCAUAACGAGCGCAACCCUUAUCGUUAGUUGCCAGCGGGUCAUGCCGGGGACUCUAACGAAACUGCCGGUGUAAACCGAGAGGAAGGUGGGGAUGACGUCAAAUCAGCACGGCCCUUAUGUCCAGGGCUACACACGUGUUACAAUGGUCGGUACAGAGGGCAGCUACCUGGUGACAGGAUGCUAAUCUCGAAAGCCGGUCUUAGUUCGGAUCGAAGUCUGCAACUCGACUUCGUGAAGCUGGAUUCGCUAGUAAUCGCGCAUCAGCCAUGGCGCGGUGAAUACGUUCCCGGGCCUUGUACACACCGCCCGUCAAGCCAUGGAAGCUGGGGGUACCUGAAGUCUGUAACCGCAAGGAGCGGCCUAGGGUAAAACUAGUGACUGGGGCUAAGUCGUAACAAGGUAGCCG
Molecule: ribosomal RNA, 626 nt
Filed under: uncultured bacterium
Lineage: Bacteria
Description: bacterial SSU rRNA
Rfam family: Bacterial small subunit ribosomal RNA
Source: RNAcentral